UCAAAUAAAAUUAUCAAAAAGUUUCUCAUUAUUUGAUCUGUUAGUCAAUUGCGUCCUAAACGUUAACUUGCCAUUAACGGUGUUGAUGUGUCCGUUUAACUUGCCACUUGAGCUGCUUUCUUGUCCGUCCACGUUGGCAAGGGACUAAAUUGCAUAUAGGACAACAUUGCAACAACCAUCUGUCUUUCCCUUCCAUCUUCUUCAUCACCCAAUUCCAAAAUUAUCUUUUCAUCUAACCCAACAACCAGAUUAUCAAUCUCCUUAAAAAAUCAUAUGUUCCUCAUACCAAAGUUCACAACGAACACCCUUUUUUUUUUUUUUGAAUCGGCAAAAUUUAUUAGCCAAGAAGGUGGAAGAACCACCAAAACUUGGAACACAAAGAGAGAAAAUACAAAGGUGUCGAAUACAACGUGCACCAAUGUCAUAAUAUGUAACUUCUCCUUCUUCCAAUUAUUAGUUGUGGGGAUCAAUUUUGUUGUUCUAUCACUGAUAUCUUUUGAUUGGAAAAUGGAGUUGUUCUAAUCUCGUUCUCCUCCUUCUAGCGGUGGUUGCCUUGUUUUAGGAUAAGGGUUGUUUUGUCCUUGAAGCUGCGUUCUGGGUUUGUGUGUUGUGAUUGGAUUCGCUCAGAUUUGCGAAUUUUCUCAACGUUUCUGCGAUUGAUGCUGGGUUCUGUUUUAAAACCACUGGUUGUCCUUUGUUUCUUUGGUUUGGUUUGAUUAUAGUUGUGUUGGGUUUUUGAGAGAAAUUUGGGAAAGAAAAGAGAGUUAACUAGUGUUGCUACACCCAUCAAAAAUUUGCUAAAGUAGCACUUACGGGGAUGUAAGAGAGCGACAACCUUAUUGUUGUUGUUGUUGAGAGUAACAACAACAAAUUUCUGAUUAAAUUUUCAUCCAUCAACCUUCUUUUAUCAUUCCAUAAUCAACAACAACAGAGAUUUCAACUUCAUCAACACCAACAAUCACAACAACAAAAAAUAUCUAAUUAAAUUUUCUUCUUGGAUUCAAAGGCAUGAGUUUGAAUGUUUAUGUUUGAUGAUAAUUUCUUGGAGAAAAUAUACGGCGGAGAAGACGAAGUGGCUGAAGAAUUGGUGGUUGAGGAUUAGGCUUGAUCAAGUAGUAGAAUAGUUUAUGGAAUGGAUCUGUGAGAAAUUUCUUUUUAUGUGGAUGUCGUAAAAUGGUUUAGAAUUGAUACAUAUAUAUAUAUAAGAUAGGAUUUGGAUCCAGCUUCUGGGCUUUGAUGAACAGGUUAAGCAAUGGAUGAUGAAGGAGAAAGAACAUAUGAAUUUGCUUUUAUUUAGUUUUGAUGUUUUUCUGUUAUAAAAUUAAUUUUAAUUAAAAUAAAAGCCAACUAGACAUCCAAAAAUCAAACAAUUAAUUAAAAUAUUCUUGUGAGUGUGUCACAUCAACAUCAUUAAAUGACAUGCCAUCAAAGUUAACAGCAGGUUGACGUCUAGACGCAAUUGACUAUCGGAUCAAACAAUGAGGGACUUUUUGAUAAUUUUAUUUGAUUCAAAGACUAGUGUGAUAGCGAGAGACACUUUUAAGGACCCAAUAAAAAUUUACUACUUUACUCUAUUAAAAGCUCUGUCUAUCAAAAUCAUAUAAUUUACGUGCAAAUAUUGUGAGAAUAAAACGUAAUGAAUAUAUAAAGAAAAUUCAUAUAUAUGUAUAUAUAAUCAUGCAUAUCAAGCAUAAUCUCCCUAAAAAAAGCAGCAUAUAAUAUCAAAAUAAAACAUUAUGUUAUUGUAGAUAGGAUCUAAACAAUGCUUCCUGAUUCAAUACUCGUUAUUCUGUUGAAUGAAAAUUAAACUAAUACUAUUCCAUAACAUAAAUUUCAAGAAAUUAGAACUAGUUUUUUUUUUUUUUUUUUUUUCAAUCAAGAAACAGCAACUAAUGGAUUAUUUUUUUGAUGAGGCAAUUUUAUUUCAAAAGCCAAACCCUUUAGUAGACUACCACCAAAAGAUACACUAAAAACCAACAUACUCAAAUACUUCAAAACACAAAACCAAACACACCAAAAUAGUUUCCUUCCCAAAAACAAUAAAAUAAAAAACAAAUGCAUCAACACAAUAAGGUAGGAGCAAGCUGAUGAAAAUCACAGACCACAUAAGCAACAACGAGACAGAACUAGUGUACACAAAAAACCAACCACUCUAGUAAACAUUAAAUAACUUAUAAAAGAACUCCAAUUCAUGAUCCCACCUACAAUCUUCACACAAUGUCAUGUCAUCAUCUUCAUCCGGUAAAAACCAUGGACCUUUCUUCACUCUCCAUCCCUCGCAUGUGCUCUUCGAGUUGCAUAGAGCAAUUUGAUUGCGCAUUAACAUCCCAUUAUUUUUCCACAUAUCUUUUGUUAAAUAUUUAACCUUACUCCUUGAACUCACAAUACAUUUGGACUUCCUCAAGAAACGCAUAUGCUCAAGUCCUUGUUUUCUUGACUCAUGAUUUUCGGAACACAACAAGAUCAUACCAUACAUACAUGUAUAUGGCCUCCUUGUGACCUUUUUCAGCAGCAAUCUUUAAUCUCUCAAGACCAUCAAUAUUUCCAUUUGGAUAGCCAAAGUAUUCAAGCAAUCCUUCUCUAAAUAUUAUUUCCGUAUUUUCACUUUCUAAGCAACUUCUUAAAAAAGACGAUACGUUCUCAUUCAGAAACCAUUGGAUCAAUGGAAAAUUGUCGAAAGAAAUUUGUUGUAACACAUAUCAUUCUUGGGUGAGUUCAAGAAAAUAUUUGCAACAAACUUUCAUUUUAUGAAAGUCACUAAGAGAUUUAGCGGCUAUUGUUGCAAACACAUCGAUUAGCAAGUCUUUGGGAAUUGAUGGUACGGCCUCUAAAGAAGAUGGUGCAUGUUGUAUUUUGUUGCUUUUUCUCUUCAAUGUUUUGUUUCUUUUUCUCUUCAAUUUUCUUUUUGAUGGUGCCAUGGUUCAAGAAAAUUGAGAUAUUCGAAAACUAUAAAACAAGAGAUUUUGGAAAACUAUUAUAUAGAGAAGUUAUAUUUUGUCUUUUGUGUGAGCGUGUAGCGUUUUUUUUCCUUUUUCAUGCAAUAAAUUUAAUAUUAAAAAGUCAAUCAAAAUCUCCUAAAAUUUUGGUGUAUACUUCUUCGGAUCAAUCCUAGUUCCACACAAAUUUAACAUCUUUCCAUCAGAUCUCUGUAAUACAAGGACUAUAAAAAGACAAAUUUAAAUUGAUAUCCUUUUUUAAUUUUUUUUACAAGAAUUUUAAUUGAUAUCUAUCUAAAUAUUCCUGCACCAUCAAAUAUAUUACAUAUAUAGAUUUUAUAUUGUCAAAAAGAUUUAAAUUGUAUACUUUAUUAGUCUUUACCAAAACAGUUUUUAUAAUAAGUUUUUUUUUUUUUUGGUACAUUGUUUUUAUAAUAAGUUACCAGAUACCAAAAAGUACUUUUGACUGGAUCGCAUUUCUAAAAUUAGAAUAUACAUUUUUGUUUUACUAAAAAAAAAGAAUAUACUUCAACUCUGACUAAUUCUAACUCGGUUAAAAUUAAUUUCUCACGUUACCAAAUAUCAUUUUUUUUUAUGAGAAAACUAAUUGUGAUUUUUUUUCCUUUUUGAAUUUGUUUAAAUAAAUAAGUUUUUUUUUUAAGGAAAAUAAAUAAGUUUUUUUAGGAGGUUUAAAUAAAUAAGUUAGCAUAUAAAAAUUAAUUUGAGAAUAUUCAAAAUGCAUGGGAAUACAUUAUAUUUAAGUAAAUAAGUUACGAUUUACCCAAGAGCGUUUAGAUGAGAUGGAACAGGUCUCUUCUAGCUUAACCAAGGUCCUGGAUUCGAAUCCAGCCUUGGGCAUGCAACAACGUUAAAACUCUUAGGGAGAGCCUGACGCCCAUUUGGGUCUCACAAUGCUCGAGAGAUUAGUCUCCGCAGUUGCACGCCAAGGAUACCCAGUUUAUACCAAAAAAUAAGUUACGAUUUUAAUUAUUAGUAUGCUCUAUCAAUGUAUAAUUAUUUUAUACAUGCAUCAAACGAUGUGUUGUCACGUGAAUUAAUGAAUGUGAUAACUCGUGUUCUUCAAAUUCAUUAAUUCACGUGACAACACAUUAUUUAAUAUAUGUGUAAAAUAAUUAUACGCAGAGUAUACUAAUUAAAUUCUUAAGUUAUGUAUCGACGGUGAUAUACAAUCAAUUUAAUUUGGAUAUAUUGAUAGUGUAAAGUUUUUACUCAUGCAUAAAUUCAAAUCAUGCAAUUUAAAUAUUUGUAGAUACAUUUGUUGAACUAACCUAUAAAAUACGAUGUCAUUUGAUUAAAUGCGUUUGUAAAAAAUUAUAUGAAUUUCACUCAAAAAAAAAAUUGUAUGAAUUAAUCUCAAAUAUAUUUGAUACUAAAUAUUUGUUUUAAAUAAACGUAUAUAGAGAUAUAAUACACUUUAUCUUUCGAAUUAUAUUGGUUAUAAUAUUAACAGAAAAAAAUUAAGCAAUAAAAUUAAUCACUUGUGAUCUAGUUCUUUUGUAGCUCCUGUUAGUGUAGUGCUUGUUCUGUUGUUGGCUUGUUCAUGGGUCCUCCUUCUGCUCUGAUUUGGGUGGUUAUCAAUAAAAUGUGCAGAUUAAAAAAUUCAUUAUUGAACAUUAAUUAAGUAAAAAUAAAUAAUUAAUAACAAACUUAACUUAGUGACUAUAAUUCACCUUUUAAGAGAUGUUCAGGAUUCGAAAUCCGACUCAUGUAUAUAACGAUGCAUUUUCUCUGCCAACUAAGUUAUACUCGCGAGAACAAUAAUAGACUUGAUUAUUUUCGCAAAGUAUAUUAACUAAUUUACUAAUAGCCAACAUUUAAACCUAAUCUAAUUUUUAAUUGAAUUUGUGAUGGCGACAAGAGAGACAUAAUAUAAUAUACUAUAUAUUUUGUCUUAUAGUUAAAAAGACGGUAGAAUAUAAGCUUACAUGGUUUAAGCAUGUAAAUAUAAAUUAUAUAUAAAUAAACAUCAUGUAUAAUUUUAUUAUUACAAGUAUAAUUUUGUCUUGGUAUAUACUAUAAAAAAAAUAGUAUCAAUUGAAAUUAAAAUAUUUAAAAUCCAAAAUAAAAUUAUUAUAAUUGAAGAUAAAAAGAUGUAAAGAUUAAUUUAAUCUUUUAACAAAAUAAAUAUUGGUCUUGCUAAAGAUUUUUAUAUGGAUAAUGUUUCAUGUACACAUUUUUUUCCAUACACACAUUGUACCACUCCAUGUGAGAGUGUGUGAGAGACAAUACAUGUGAGUUUUUUUGUGUGUGGGAGACCACAAGAACACUUGUCAAAAUUGUGUGUGGGUGUACAAGUGGUACAUGCCACCUAAGAUGGUCUAUGUAUCACUACUCUUUUUAUAUAGUCCUUGCCAGCGGUGUAACCGAGUAAACACACGUGUUGGAUGACACUAAGUCUUGGUCAAUUCAGAGAAUGGGUUGGUAUCAGAGGUUUAUUUGUGUUAUGGGUUAGGCUACUAGAUAGAAAUAUCGCUAAUCAAUUGAGCUUAGGGUUGAAUAUAUAUAUCUAGUAUAUGCUGGUCUAUAACCCCAAGCAUGAAACCUAGAUAGAUAUAUGGAUGAAAUGCUAAAGACAACCAGAUAAUUCCCUUGUUUUUUUUUUAACAAAACAUGAGCCAUGUUUAAGGUUGGACACCUGAGAUAAUAUGUUAAAGACUGAACAACGUAUGACAGUCCACAACCCCUUAAACAUGAUCCUGAAUGGAUGCAAUGCAAGACAACUAGGAAAUCUUGUUUAUGUUAAGUGCAACGUAAACAGGGCCGUCCCUAUAAAUCUAGAGGCUCGGUUCUAAUUGUAAACAUAGGCCCCGUAUUAAAAGAAAAACAUUAUUUUUUCUUAAGAGAAAAAUGUUACAAGUGUUUUUAAAAAAAAAAGAAAAAAAAAAGUUAUAUUGUGUUUUUAAGGGAUAAUAGAGUAUUGAUGAUAUUUGGCCUAAAUUGAGACCCAGUCUUACCAAAAAAAGCUUAAUUAUAGUAAAAAAAAAAAAAAAAUAAAUAAAAUUUAUGAUACUCCUGAGUAUUGAAACCACAACUUCUGCUAUACAUACGUGUGUUUCUACCACCAAACCAGCAUAACAUUUCUGAUAUAUUUACGUAUUUAUCGUAUAUAUUACACUUUUUCAUUCAUUGUACUAAUAAAAAAAAAUAUUUGGGCCUCCAAAUUUGGGAGACCCAGCUCGGUAGAGCUGUUUGCACCCCCAAAGGGCCGGCCCUAAACGCAAGGUAUAUUUUGGUGUUUGAGGUCAUGGUGUCAUAUUUAACAAGUAUAUAGUUUUUGAGACAUUCAUCAUAGUAUGAAAGUUACCUUAAAACACAACGUUAGAACUUGGCUUCAACUUUUAAAUGAAAUAGUGCGUUUAGCUCAGCCCUGUUAGCUUUCUACAUGUAUGAUCGGACAAAAAAGGUACAACUAUUUGAUGAUAAUUUUUGUAACAAUCUUGUUUUGCUUUUUUAUGAUUGGUCAAAAUCAAUAUAUAUAUAUAUAUAUAUAUAUAUAUAUAUAUAUAGAGAGAGAGAGAGAGAGAGAGAGACUAAUGUAAAUAUAAAAGAAAAAGUUGUUAAAAAGACGUUAUCACAAAAUUGUUGUAAAAAUAUCACUUCUCAAAACAAAAUAGUUCAUGUCAUUCUUCGUCAGAGCCUUAAUAACAUAACCGUUGAGUGGUCUCAUAAAAACACUUAAUUCUCUACUAGUGAAAGACUUGUCAUUUCAUUUCCUGUGAUACUCUCUCAAACAUGCAUGAGUCGUUCCUAUCUACAAGGAAUUCACUUAAACCGAAUAUGCAUUCAUGCCCAUCCGAAAGGUUGGCUACUUUAAUAUCGAGAGUAACCUCUUAAUAAACCCGACUAAAGAUAAGAAAAGAAGAUUACAACUAAUAAGAACCAUACCAUCACAUCCACAACUAUAAAUAAGGGGCAUUGCCUUCCAAGUACGAUUACUUAACUUAUCUUAUAUAUACUCAUUAACCAACCUAUUUGCUUAAUUUGUUGUCUUUUUUAUAUAUAAAAGAAAAUAUCAUAUUGAAAAUUGUAUCUUCUACUUCUUAAGAGUUCAAAAAAAGUUCCUGCAAAAAAAAAUGAUGAAAAAAAUCUUUUUUCAAAGUAAAAUUUAUCUUUUUUUUUUAUUUUUAACUAAUGUCUUAGGGGCUUCAGUUAACAUGACCCUUAAACAUUUUCUUUUGUCGAUAGUCAAGAGAUUAGAAAUCUACAUUUUAAAUUUAGUAAGUAGAGAAUUUGAAGUUCAAACUCAAAUUCAUAAACUAUGCUUAUUGGAACUAAACAGUUUUUAAUGCAAUAAUAUGUUUUUUUUAGAGAAAUAAAAAAUGAGGGGAAAAAAUAAAAAUAAUAUUUAUUACAUAUUAUAAAUUUUAAAAAUAUAUUAGUAUAUAAAAUUAAUAUCCCUGAAAAAAAGUAUACAAAAUCAAUAAAUUAUGGAUUAAAUUGAUGAAUUAUUAAGGUUGAUCUUUGUUUCCGUCGUACAUGUAGUAACUGAAAGUGCAAGUCCCAACUGUAUAUAGUAGUGGGACCACAAAGUAUAACCGGUUAUCACUGACGUGGCAGCACCACAGUUUGCCAACUCGAACACAAAACCACCAAUGAAAGGCAUAUCCGUAAAUAACCGCAACUCCAUAUCCAUUCUUACAAAUAUUCAAACUCAAAACCAACCGUUUUCGCUCCAAAAAAACCACUUUCACUAUCUCUACUUAUUAUAAUAAAACAGUUACCAUUUCUUCUCUACGUUACCAAAACUAAUCAUUUGUCUCACACACACUAAUUUUGUCUUCAACUUGAAAAUGUUCCGUUUUCGUAUAAGCAACACCGUGGUCGGUGCACUCAACAUACUCUCCUUACUCCUCGGCCUCGCCGCUAUCGCUUCCUCCGCCUACAUCCACAUCAAAGGUGGUUCAGACUGCCAAAAGGUGCUUCAAUAUCCCCUCCUAAUCGGUGGUGUAUUCGUCGUGAUUGUGUCGGGACUUGGAAUCGCGGGAUCGUUGUUCGGAAUCAACACGGCACUCUAUGGUUACCUAUUGGUGACAUUCUUGCUUGUGUUGGGACUUGCUUUCUUCACUGUGUUUGCUUUGUUUGUCACCAAUAGAGGGGUGGGGAAACAGAUUUCUGGUAAAGGGUAUGGUGAGUAUAGGGUUGCUGAUUUCUCUCAUUGGUUGCAACGAUAUGUUGUGAAUGAAGAGAAUUGGGAUGAGUUCAAGAGUUGUUUGAAGGAUGCUCAUGUUUGUCAGAAUCUCGCCGUCAAUGGUGGCCGGAAUAACGACUCCCUCAUUUUCAAACACUUGUCUACCACCCAGGUUCAAUUUGUAACUUCAUUAUGAUGAAUUUUUUUUUAACGACAAAAUUUGUUGAAUUGAGAGAAUGGAAAAUAGUACAAAGUAGUAGUACAUCCAAAAUUUGAAAAGUCCAAUGUUUUUGGUCUAAAUUUUGCACCGGAUACAUUUUACUUUUUGAAUCUUUUGACGACGGAGAAGAUUAUUCUUUUUAAAUAAUUACAUAAAAUUUUAUUUCUUCCAUUGUUUUUAUCAAGCAAAAACGGAUAGAUAAUUGAUGGUUAUUGUUUUGUGGUGUUUUUAUUUUUUUAUUUUUUUACUUUUGCAGGCUGGGUGUUGUAAGCCACCGGUGUACUGUGGAUUUACAAUGAAGAAUGCUACAUUUUGGGAAGUACCAAAAUCAGGUUUGGCAGCAAAUAAUUCAGAUUGUGCAACAUGGAACAAUAGGCAGGAGAAACUGUGUUACGAUUGCAAUGCAUGCAAAGGAGGAGUUUUGGCCAACAUAAGGAACCAAUGGAGACAUUUAACUGUGUUCAAUGGUUUUGUGCUUGUACUCGUCACUGCCAUUUACGCCAUGGGGUGCUACGCGAUCAGGAACAAUCGAUUGGACUCUCGCAGCAAUCUUCCAUAAUUAGUUUUAUGUCUUCAAUUUGUUAUCAGGGACUAUGUAUUUGUUUCAAGUAUGGUUGUCUUUAAGAUUUGUGUUUAUUUUGUAUGGUCGUGUACUUUGGUGUUUUGGAUCUCCAGACAUUCAAUUUCCUUAACUUGUUUUUUCUUUGGUAACUUCUUAAGUCCCUAAGUUGUUAUAAUCAAUUUUCAUUCGGUAUCUAGCAGCAUUUAAAUUUGAAUUUUUUUGGUACAAAAUUUUGAAAAUUAAGUAACGUAUUUUUUGAAUUAACUUCGGAACUACUAUAAUCAACUCUUGCAAAUGUUAUUGUUGUUUGUGUGUUAGUUUUUCGAAUACCAUAUCAAAUCUUAUCAUUGAAUCAACUAUUGAUAAGUAAGUGUUGCAAUUUUAACUUUAAAUAGCAGCCUAGGAAUGAGCAGAAAUCACGGGGAUAUGUGUUUAUUAGAAUCCAAUCAUUACUUGUUGUUGUAAAUUGUUGGUAUCAAAUAUAAGCGACAUUCAAUUACAAAUAUAAGAUAAGAUAUGUAAGAAAAAUUUCUUCAAAAAAAUUAGGAAAUUUGCAACUUUUUUGGCUCCAAAUGCUUAAGAGAAUAAGAUGUGAGAUCAUUUUGUAAAAAAUAAAAUAAAAAAGGUGAUAACUUGUGUACCCAUCUCGCUAUGGUGGGUAUUUGUACCCAUGACCUUUUAAGUCAGCUAAAAUGUUAACCGACGUCAUAAGAUUUUUUUAUUUUUAUUUUUUUAUUUAUUUAUUUAGGAACGAGGUUUUCUCUGAUACCAGAGUUUUAGCAAAGUGCGGAAGACUUUUUCUAUAGACAAAUUUAAAUUCUUUUGUUUAGUUUUUCGAGUUGUAGAGAUAACUUGAGCUUUGUAAUUUAUUUAUCUCUUUUUGUUCUGAGAUUUCAAAAUCUCUUUUGGGUGGUGUUACUCUAAGGCUCUAAUUCCUUAUCAAUGGUUUUUAUGUUUCUUCGAAUAGAUAUUUCUCAGCUUCUAUCAAGGAAAAGCUAUUUCUUGCUAAAUUUCUAUAUAUACGUGACUUUAGGGUAACUAAAGGUUUAAAUAAUUCAUCAAUAUGAAUUGUAUUUUUUCCUAUAAAUUCUAUGGUGUAAAUUCUAUGCUAUGGUGUGAAUUACUCAAAGCAUAAUUAAUUCUAUAACAGAUUGUAAAAGGAUGAUUACCCUUUUUUAUAAAAUUCGAGUUUUCCAACUUAUAAUGAAAAACUAUAGAUUAAUCUAGAUGUUUAUCUUUUAGGGAUAUCCCAUUUGUAAAUUUAUAUCAAAUUUUAUUUUUUCAUAUUUUAAAUUAUAGUUUACUUGUGCAAUUUUUGCUUGUCUUUUGUCUAAAAUCGUAGAGUCUUCUAGCGCUAUUUCUAGAGGUGAAUCAAUACCUUUCAUAAAGGUACUUUUGAUUAAAAUUUGAAUAGUUGAUAUAUGAAUAUAACCAAUUUUGCUUUUUUCUUUUUCAGAAAAUGUUUCAAUUCUUUUUUCAAUUUGAGUUUUAUGUAUGGUAGAUAUGACUAUAUUUCCUUGAGUGUUUUCAAUUGAAAUUGCUUCUUCUCCUAUCAUUAUUCCAAAUUUCAAAAUAUUUUUUCUUGAGAAAAAUUCUUUGAAUUUAUUAAACUUUCUUUUGAAAUUUUCUUCAGUAGUUAAAGAUAAAUCUGCUUCUUCUAUAUUAUUAUCUAUUAUGUCAUCAACAUAAUAACUAGAUGUUCCUUCAAAGUAUGAAACCUCAGUCAUAUUCUAUAAUGUUUAUUAUGUCAAUACUAUGAUACUGAAAAGUAAAUUUUGAAUUUAAUAAAGAUAUAUUCAUACCUGAUUUGAUCUUCUUUGAGAUUUUGUUGAUAUUUUUGGUUUCGUUGUAGCUAGAUAUAAUCUUCGAAUGAUUAUAUUUUGUAAGGGUGAGACUAACUUUCUCUAAUUCUACGUUGUAUAAUUCUGAAAUUAAGUUUAGCAUGUUGUAGGUUGUAGUUAUGAGAAUUUGAGAAUUAGGUUUUGAAGUUGUAAUUGGUUGUUAAUAGAGUAGAAAAUUCGUUGAAUUUGGUAGAAGUGAUGUUCAGAUCAUGAGUUAUUUUUAGUGCAAUGUUUUAUAUGGUUUUGAGUGCCUUAACAUGUAUAGAAAUGGUUAGAAAAGUUUUUGGAUCAAAUUUGGGCAUAGGGAAGUUAAAAUUGGGAAAACGGGGUAUUAUUAUAUCUAACUACAACGAAACCAAAAAUAUCAACAAAAUCUCAAAGAAGAUCAAAUCAGGUAUGAAUAUAUCUUUAUUAAAUUCAAAAUUUACUUUUCAGUAUCAUAGUAUUGACAUAAUAAACAACAAAGAAUAUGACCGAGGUUUCAUACUUUGAAGGAACAUCUAGUUAUUAUGCUAAUGACAUAAUAGAUAAUAAGAUAGAAGAAUCAGAUUUAUCUUUAACUGCUGAAGAAAAUUUUAAAAGAAAGUUUAAUAAAUUCAAAGAAUUUUUCUCAAGAAAAAAUAUUUUGAAAUUUGGAAUAAUGAUAGAAGAAGAAGCAAUUUCAAUUGAAAAUACUCAAGGAAAUAUAUUCAUAUCUACCAUACAAAAAACUCAAAUUGAAAAAAGAAUUGAAACAUUUUCUGAAAAAGAAAAAAGCAAAAGUGGUUAUAUUCAUAUAUCAACUAUUCAAAUUUUAAUCAAAAGUACCUUUAUGAAAGGUAUUGAUUCACCUCUAGAAAUAACCCUAGAAGACUCUAGGAUUUUAGACAAAAGACAAGCAACAAUUGCACAAGUAAAGUGUAAUUUAAAAUAUGGAAAAAUAAAAUUUGAUAUAAAUUUACAAAUGGGAUUAUCCCUAAAAGAUAAAGAUCUAGAUAGAUCUAUAGUUUUUCAUUAUAAGUUGGAAAACUCGAAUUUUAUGAAAAAGGGUAAUCAUCCUUUUACAAUAUGUUAUAGAAUUAAUUAUUCUUUAAGUAAUUCACACCAUAGCAUAGAAUUUAUAGGAAAAAAUAUAAUUCAUAUUGAUGAAUUAUUUACACCUUUAAUUACCCUAAAGUCAUCUAUAUUUAGAAAUUUAGCAAGAAAUAGUUUUUCCUUGAUAGAAGCUGAGAAAUAUAUAUUUGAAGAAACAGAAAAACCAGCCUUAGAGUAACACUACCCAAAAGAGAUUUUGAAAUCUCAGAACAAAAAGAGAUAAAUAAAUUACAAAGCUCAAGUUGUCUCUACAACUCGAAAAACUAGACAAAAGAAUUUAAAUUUUUCUAUAGAAAAAGUCUUCCGCACUCUGCUAUAACUCUGGUAUCAAAGAAAAUCUCGUUUCUAAAAAAAAUUAAAAAAAUUAAAAUAAAAAAAAAUAAAAUCUUAUGACGUCAGUUAACAUUUUAACCGACUUAAAAUGUCAUGGGUACAAAUACCCACCAUAUUGAGAUGGGUAACAAAGAAUUUCCCAAUAAAAAAUUCUGAAGUAAAUUUGCAACUUGUUUAACUCCAAAGAAUUGUCUUAGAGACUUAAAAACUUUUAUAUAUAAGGCAAUGUCAUUUUUUUUUUUAAAAAAAAAAAGCAAAAAAAACUAACAGAGAAAUUUGCAAAGCAAAAAAUUAGGAAGAAAAUUUUCAAAAAUUUGUCUAGAAGACUUGAGAAUUUUUAUGUAAGAUAUGAGAUCAUUUCUUAAAAAAAAAUAAGGAGAUUUACAACAGCUUUUUUCGCUUCAAAAUUUGCUUAAGACAACUUAAGAACUUUUUUUAUAUAUAAGAUAGGAUAGAGAUGAUCAUUUAAAAAAGAGAAAUGUUGUUUAGUACGGAAAUAUCGCCACGAAUUUUCACGGACGCGUGUAUCUAUACGUUAUCCACGCGCUGCAAAAAUGUCUUCUCUUCAACCAAUUAACACACCACCCAACGCAUUGACUUAUCAUGUACCAUCACCACUUUAUUGUUUUUUCUAUGUCUUCUCUUCAUCUCUCUCCUUCGAUCUGUUCUUUCUACAAACACAUCUUCUCCAUUGUUUAAUUUCUCUCCAUCAUCAAGAUUACUCCCUUUCUUUUCUCAACUUCAGUUUUCACAAUCUUCAUUCACACCAAAAAAACAUAAAAGAUAAUUAUUAUUUUUUUCCAAAAAAUGAAACCCAUUUUAACAUUACUGUAGUCAUCGGAUCAAACACAACAAAUAAUUUAAAUUCUCCCCUCAAAACAACAAAUAAUUUCAAUUCAAGUGAAUUUUACUUUACAAUGAGAAUUAUUCAUAAUCUGGGUUUAAAAGUGAGUAAUUAUUUUCAUAUAAAUUAACCCUGUGUGGAAGAACUGGGAAAUACAGUAGAAAAAUGAGGUCAUAUAUGGCUAAUAGGUUAGAAGAGAGGGAACAUAACAUUGGAUUAGAUGAAACAUUGUUAUCAAUCAACACAUGUAAGAAGAUGAAAUUUGAGACAUAGAUGGAUGAAGAAUUAGAAUUGUUAAUGAGAUAGGAUAAGGAUUGAACUAAAUGUGAAUGUUAUGAAGAAGAUGAAGGUGAUAUGGGAAGAUAUGAACAACGUUGUUAUGAGAGAAAAAAGGGUUUGAACUGAAUGUGAGAGAUAGAAGGUGGGUCACAGAGUCAUGAACCGAAUGAGAGGUUAUGUCUCGUUUGUUUAGGUUUGUUUAGAAUUUUUAAGCACGUGUCUGUGAAAAUUUUUGGUGGAACUCCCGUACUAAAUAGCAGUUCUCUUUAAAGAAAAGCUCAAAAAAUUAGAAUGAAAAUUCGUAACAACUUUUUUGCCUCCAAAUAGUUUUAGGGAACUUCUACGGCACACCAGUAAGUUGAGGUGUACCGAUACUCUACUUCAAAAAUCUUUAAAUUAACUACUAAUUUUAUGGAAUAAAGAGCUAUUUCAUAAGAAAAAAUAUCAUUUCAUUGUUUAUAAAAAUCAUACUAAUUUUAUUUAUAUUUUAUUGUAAAAAAUAAUUAAAAUUCUCUAAUUAUGAGUACUAAAAAUUCAGAAAAAUUUAAUUUUAUUUCGUCGAUAUUUUUGAUAAAUAAGAUUUAAUUAUUAUAAUUGUAGGUGAUAGUAAACAAUUUUUCUCUUCAAAAAAUAACACAUUUUACGAUUAAUAUAUUAAUUUGGUGUACCAAUACACUCAAAUUUUUGGAUGUACCAUAGAAUUCGCCAUAGCUUUAUACAGAAGAUAAUAUUUGCACUUAUGUUUUUAUUAUAUGAUUUUGAUGGAUAUAUAUAGUUUUUUUUUUUUUUUUUUUUUUUUUUUUUACAAUUUGAUGGAUAUAGCUCGAUAUUAUAUGAUUUUGAUGGAUAUAGAGUUUUUUCUUUUUUUUCUUUUACAAUUUGAUGGAUAUAGCUCGAUGAACCUUAAACUGAUUUUAUAUAUGUAGCCUUAGGCUACCAAUGGUUUAUAUUAUAAGUUUCAUUGGCAACAUUUUUAAUUAAUAUUUCUUUUAAAAGGCCAAACAUAUAUCUAUUGAAAUAAAUAAUCAAAACAUAAGUAGUGCUAUGAUUACAAAUCCAAAUUUAAUCUUUUCAAAAUUAGUACCUUGUGUCAAUUGAUGGGACAUCAUUACUUUCGAAUUCCAUUCGUGAGAUAUUAAACUCAGAAAAUAUGGAGAGGAUAGGAGCUUGUUAGUAAUCUCAAUCUGAGCGUGUUUGGAAUACAAAUUUUCUACCAUGAUCAACUCAUGCUCAUUACCAUAACACACCAUGAACCAAAAUUAGAACAAGUCAGUUGCAAGGAUGAGUUUGAUAACCGAUGCAAAGAUACAUAUCAAGGAGGAAAUUGCUUCGCAGACGACCGAAAUUUAAGCAAAGAACCACUAUGCCAACAAUAGUAAGCAACUUAGCUAACUCAAAAAAAAAAUUGAGUUUGUCACCAAUAAACUCAUAAAGAGUACAGUACAUUGAAUGAAACUAUGGCCGAAUAGUUGCCACUUCACUUGAAAAAGGUACAACCAAUGAACAAGAAAAAGUAAACUACUAACGAUGUUAAGAGUUCGAGGCUCCAAGUUGGGCGCAGCAACAUUGUUGGAAUAUUGGGUACCAGCAAUGAACCAGAGACCCAUCCAGCCACAAGAGCUCCAAACCUAUAAUUGUGCAAACAAAAGAAAAUAAAUAAUGGUUAAAAAAAUUAAAGGAAAAACACAAGUCGAAGCAAAUUAUACCACUCACCCGAUAACGAAUGCUCUAGCCAAACUCUUUGUCUUUUCAUUUAGGAAGUAUAUGCAAGCAGCCAAAGAGAUUGCCACCUAUAUCAAGAGAAUAGUACUGUCAAUAUGCAAUAUUUCAGGCACAUGGCAGUGAGAGAGAGCAACCCAAAUUAUCUUUUCAAUAAUGUCCCCUGACGUGACUCCAAGAAUACGUGAACGUAAGAUUAAAUUGUUCUAACUUCACACAUUCACCUGUCCUUAAUAUGCCAUUAUGCCUUGAAGGAUAUAAUGGUGAAUAGAUGGAAGAUUAUAGACUUGUAUAAUCAAAAAAAUUAUCAAUGUGCAGUCAAGUUGCAAAUCAAGAUCAAAACUAUGUUUGACUGUUAAAGUGUUAAAAACUAUAACCGAAAGUCUGAUAGCCACAAGAAAUGACCAGCUCAAUGGCUAUUCUGAAAUUCAUUUACAGCCUUUAUUGAUAACCAAAGAUAGCAGUCACUAAAGUCUUAUUAGCAAGGUAUGACAACUUGACAAAUGACAAGUACAUCAGGCAUCCUAAAGCCUAGGAAGAAAGAGUAUCCACUCUUAGUAGAUGACUUAACCAUUCAGUAUGGAGAACAAUUGUAAUUCACCCACGGUUUGAGAAAUUAAUAUAAAUUGCGAAGCGAACAUAUACCAUUUUUUUCUACAAUUUUGGAGGAAUAAUUUUCAAGUGGAAUAGUUGCAAUUUUCUAUAUUUCUGUAUUUUUUAUAUAUAAAAUACAGUUUUGUUUUCAAGAGUUGUGCAUUUGAGUAUACACUGCACAGAAAGAAAUAAUGAAAGAAAUUCAAACCAAACCUGAAAAGCAGGUCCAGUUUCAGCAGAAUUCAUUAUGCUCCAGCCACCCAUGAAGGCAAAGAGAAACAAUCUUCUCAGGAUAAUUUCAGUUGGUGGAAAUUCAACAAUGUUUAGCACAUUCUUGACCCAUGGUGGGGACUCCUCGACUUUCUUCUUCAACUUGCUUUUCAAAUUAAUUUUUGUUUUCCUCCUUUGUACGAAACUAGCCAUCAAUAUAUUUUCAAAAGCAGCCUCUAUCGAUUCUACGCUCCUCUCAUGUCCAGCAUACUGUUGCAACAGAAAAUUUCUUGACCCCCAAAUUUCUUCUUCAGAAGCAUCACGGCUAACACCAAGGCGUCGGUAAGGAUCCCAAACACUAACUCUGGGGAAUUUUGGGACAUUACCUGUACAAAAGGGUGCCCGUGUGCGCACAUAUAAAUUCAUUUAUUCCAUAAGGUGGAAAAUAGAAGACAGAAUUGUAACUAUGUAGCAGAAAUAUAGACUUCAUGAUUUUAUAUGAAUAAUAACGAUGCAAUGAUCCAAAAAUCAUCUUAAAGCAAAGGAAAUUCCAAACCACCCAGCUAGCCACCAGAAAAGGACAUAAAACUAGUAAAUGUAAUGUUGUGCUUGAGAUCGAAUAGUAGAUCUGAAGUUUUUUAUUGGACAUAAAAGAUUCUCAACCAAGAAAGGAAUAUAAAUGCUGCCAAUCUAUGCAAGCAUGACUGCUCUGCCACUGAUUACUAUGACCAUCAAAUCAAAGAUCAAGUUCCUCUUCGACAGAGCGACAGUUGGCUCCAACUAAACUCGGAGAUUGAAAUUGCAAUCCUAAUUUUUUGGCUGGUCAGGAGCACUCUCCCCGUUGUAUGGAACUUUUAUAGUGCCCCCGCAUGCCUUCCCUCUAUCCUUUCAUAAUUGAUGUUGCUUCUAUUUGUUUCCUGAAAUGACGUCCUGCUUAGCUUGGGCUAUUUCAACUUAAGUACUCACUACCCCCUCCCCAAAAAAUAACCUACAGGCAUACUUAUCAAAGCCUUGUUUGCUUCUCAUCAUGUCUUAUGAAAUGUUUAGGGAAUGAUGAUGAAUGUCUUAUAAAUAACGAUAAAUUCUAGGCAAUUGAAAUUUCAAUAUAUUUGAUAGCUUAAACAUUGAAAAUAGAACUGUCCACUAAUCUAUAUUAUAUGCCAAAGGUUGUUUGGAUGGAGGGUUUAGGAGGGGAGGGUUUACUUUUCAUUUUUAAAUUACCGACAUAAUGAAAAUGUUUUUUUAAAAAGUUAACAUAUUAACAUGAUAAAUGAUCAUAUAAUACUUCAAUCUCACUUAAUUUAUUUUACAAAAACAAGUUAUAUAGUCUGCAAUUUAAAAAAGAAAAGUAAACCCUCCCCUCCCUUCCCCUCCUAAACCCUCAAUCCAAACACACUCUAAGGGAUCAUUGCUACAUCCUGAAAGGGGGAAAGGAGGGUGGGAGCAAGGAAUCUUGACAUAAGUAAAAAAUUCAGAAGCUUAAGCAUAUGAAGUAUGAACUAGAAAAUCCAGCUUGAACUAAUGUUGCAGUGGUGUCUGGCAGUUUAUGGUGGAUUGGCUAAAAUACCACAUAUAAAUGCAGUAUCACAACCUAUGGUGCCGACAUGGUUGGUGAUGCUUCACAAAUUGCUAUGGCGGCUGUUACAAAUCCGCCAUGACCUCACCUGACAACCUGUGAUUGGCUCUAGUACAUCGAUAGCUAAUCAAGUUUAUUCGUGUAACUAAAAAACAAACCCUAAUCUCUGUUUAAAUGAUUUCUUAUUGCCUAUUAGCCAGACACAGGUUGGUGAUUUCCACCUUUACCCAGACAAGGCUCUGGAUAAAAAUGUUCACAAUAGACCUUGCUUCCAUUUAUUAUUACCAGGGCAAACCUUUAGGGUCUGUUUGGAAGAUCGGAGGGGAGGGUAGAGCUUUUGAGGGAGGGAUUUUAGAGGGAAAUAGAGAGAAAUCUUCAAUCCUUUUAAAACGAGUAAGUAUGUAGAAAAUGAUAAAUGAUUAUAGGUUUAAAUAUGCCUUUAGUCCUUGCACUUUCAUCAGAUUUUGGCAUUGGUCCCUACACUUUUUUUUGUUUGGAAUUGGUCCUUGCACUUUGUAAAAAUAUUGGUAUUGGUCCCUCUAUUAACUUUCUGUUAAAAAAAAAACACAAAACUAUUGGAAUUGGUCCUUGCACUUUGUAAAAAUAUUGGUAUUGGUCCCUCUAUUAACUUUCUGUAAAAAAAAAACCCAAAACUAUUGGUAUUGGGCCCUGCACUUUGUAAAAUAUUGGUAUUUGUCCCUGCAAUUUGUAAAAAUAUUGAUAUUGGUGCCACGUGGGCGUGAAAUGAUUGGGCCGCACUCCGUUGGUUUUGUGUUUUUUUUUUAACAGAAAGUUAACAGAGGAACCAAUACCAAUAUUUUUACAAAGUGCAGGGACCAAUACCAAACAAAAAAGUGCAGGGACCAAUGCCAAAAUCUGAUGAAAGUGCAGGGACCAAUGACACAUUUAAACCAUGAUUAUAAUAAAUAUAUUUUUAAUUUUAAGAGUAUUAUAAAUCUAAACCCUCCAAUACAUUUUUUGAUUUCCCCCAAAUUAGGGAGAUUUUGUAUUAUCAAGAAAAAUGAAAUCCCCAAAGCCCCCCCUCCCGAAAUCAUAUAUUCCUUCAACUUCCCCUUUCCUUAUUUUCAAGCCCUCUCCUCCUAAACUCCCAAAGAGACCCUUACUAUUUGCUUACAACAAGUGAAAAACUAAAAGCGGGUGCAUUUUAAACAAAAGUUCACUGUUUUAGAUACACUUCCACGAUUCAAUGGAAUAAGAGAUUUUGUUAUUAUUGUUGUGAAAAAUAAAUAAUAUAGAUAGUGAAUAUGUGAUACAUAUGAUGAAAUUGUUGAUGUUAAUAGUAUUGUAAUGAUUACUGAGCUAAGUAGCAAUAUUCGAAGAUAAAACAUAGGUGAUACCUCCAUAUGGCGUGUCUACAGCGCACUUAGUACGAAACGAAACAUGGCGAAAGGUUGUAAAAUUCCUUGUAUUUUCCCGGAGGGGACUGCAGAAAACGAAAUUCAUUAAUAACAUUAAUAUGGAAGUUGAAUUAAGGAAAAAGGGGGAAGAAGGAGUACAGUUUUUUGGAGAGGAAAGCGGUGGGGAAAUUGGGAGAUGAAAGUGAAAGAGAAGCCAUGUUGAGUAGUUGUAAUUGAGAGAGUGAAUUGCACAAGAGUUAUUUCCCAAUCCCUAAUUGAAGAGCAUGUUGCUGAACUCGCCUGGGAAAAGGAACGCGUUCUUUUCCUUUAGUUCUGCAAGAGGGAGGAACAAUAACGAUAGCAGAUUACGUUAUUAUUUUAGUGUGUAACACACCUCCAAUGCUAGACUGCGCCGUGUGCAAACUACCACACAUCCCUUUUUUUUUAAGUUCAUUGUUAAAGAAAAUGAUUAAAAUAAUUAAAGAUAAUUUUUCAAAAAGAUAAUCAAUACAGUAAAAAUUUAGAGAUAGAACUAUGAAAAAGAUAAAUCAAUUUUUUAAAAGAGUCCCUUUUUAAGAUAGUAAAUUUCAUGCUCUCUGAUACAGUUUGAUCAUUGAUACGUAAUGAGUAGUCAUAAUACUCUUUUCAUGACUAUUUUUACUAACAUAAUACACAAUCAAGAAUUGUAUUAAUAUUUUGAUAUAAUUAAAGGAUUAUUGUAUUUAUUCUCAUACAUUCAAAAAGUAAAAUGACUAUUACAUUUUCUUUAAUGUUUUCUAUUUAAAUACUUAAUAAAAAAUCUAAUUGCAAGUCAGGUAACUUAGAAAGUUGAUCUUUCAGGUCUUAGAAAGUUGAACUUUUAUAUAACAACAAUGGUGUACAUUAACGUCAGAUUUUUGCAGGUUUGGUGUUAGUUGACUAGGAGGUAAUCUUGAAGGAAUAUAAGCAUGCCUCUACAAAGUGACUUCAUAAACCAAAAUAUCAAGUUUUCCACCAAUAAAUCCUUUGGUUUCUAUGGUUGAUUUGAUUCAUUCCCAUUUAAAAAUAAGGAAAAUGUUAACUAGUGCCCGAGGGCAUUGCUUAAGGACUUUAAAUGGUAACAUUUUAUAAAAGUUUAUGUAAUAAAGCACGUCAGAAAUUAUAAAUUUUAACUUUUUUAAAGAAUAAUUACUUAACUUAAAAUAUUUAAAGAGUGCACCGGAGAUACUCGUUAUCAAGACGAUUAUAAUUAUGCACGACUGUAGCAAACAAGAAGAGCCUCAAAGAAUUCUAAUAUCCACUUUCAAGUCAUUAGGCCAUUGUGCCUAAGCCUAAUUGUUGUCCUUUUUUCUUCCUAUCUCUCUCUCUCUCUCUCUCUCCUGCCUAUACACAAUUAACCCAAAUAAACCUCUGUCAAUAUUCUAAUGAAAUGUUUAAUGUCAAGUAUACACAUGGAGUGAUAAUAAGAUGAGUUAGGGUCUUUUAGAGGGAUCAACAUAAGGAUUAGACUGAUCACAAGGAAGUGUUCAACUCCUUCAUUAUAACCACCAUUAAAAAACAUGGAGCUUGAUUAUUUUUAGUUGUGUCUGAUAUGAUGGGGGCGGCCACUAAGCGUACACGAGUGGAAGAGUUUAAAAGGGAUUUAACUUGUAUAUAAGAAAUAAUCAAAUUAAUAUAAUUUCGAGGACUUGAUUAAUCAAGGCACACAUUCACAUAUAUAUUUGCGAGAGUUCAAUGUUUGAGCGAGGAAAAAGAAUCUCAGUCAGCCCCAGGAAGAAGUUUCUGAGUAGAUUGCCUGCUGGUUGUUCCAAAACCUCCUCUAACACCUGCAGGGAUGAUUCUGGAUGGUGACAACACCUCUGCAAACGAAAAUUUAUAUGAAUCUGUUCCUAAUCUACUCUGUAACCACCCUUUGCCUCCAGAAAAUCCAUCACCAACAAUCCACGUGUUCUUAAAUCCAAGCCCUGUUAGUGUUCUAGCAACUAUCUUUGCCGAGUCCGAGUACCUAUAUUAUACGUAUUGUCCAAAAAUCAGAAGUUGAUAAACACUACAAAAAAAAGUUAGGAAAAUGCUAAUAAGUGCCCCAGGGGCACUAGUAAGCAUGACCCAAAAAGUUAAUAAGUAUUGAAAGCGUCUCAGAUGUUCAACACGUGACACCGACAUGACACCAACACGUGAGAUUACAUUCAAUAAUUCUAUUUUCUCAAAUUAUCAAGUGUCGGUGGCGUGUUCUGAGUCUGUGUCUCGUAGAUAAUCAUCCGCCAUAUAGUGAACUGAAAAUGGUUAGUUAAUAGUAAGAUAGUUUUUGAAAGGAAACCUACGAGUCCAAGAUCACAAUGUUGGUGCCUUUGUUGAUUUUCUUCAGAUAUGAAAUCUUUAAUGCUGCUAUUUCAGCUUCCACUCUCUUCACAUUCCUUACCAGUCCCCGUAUUUUGUUUGGCACUUCUUCCAAUCUGAGUUCAAAUAAAAGCAAUAAGAAGUGAUGCUCAUGCUAUGAUUAUUUGAAAUUGAUAAAAUAAGAAAAGUUGAUUACAAUGAGUAUAGGAUACACUUUAUACAUAAUAACUGAUCAUAAAGAAGGCAACAAAUCUUAACUUAAAGGUUUAGAUUGCACGAGAAUCUAAAUACAAAUUGUACUAUGAGUACUAGAUAGAGGUAAGACACUUACGGAAUGGCAACCAUCUUGUUUUUAGCACUAGACGGAAGGCGAGGAAUACCGGAUUUGUCCUUAUCCUUCUCUGACCUAAUAUCAAUCAAAAUGUAGUUUUGUGUGCAUAACAUAUCAAGUGUUUGAGCUGGUGUCAAGUCUCCUGCAAAGAAAACACAUGCAUCAUCCAAAGAAAGAAAAAUGUUGUUUGAUAUAAGGAGCUUGAAAAUUCACAAGGCCACGAUGGCUUUUAUGUAAAACCAUAUAGAAGCAUAAAAUUUGCAUCAAACCAUGUCAAGGGUAGUAGUACCUUUGUACCCGCGAAAAUUGAAGGAGAUGGCAGACCAGAUAGGAGGAAACAAGAGGUAUGCAAUGAAUAGUGCUCCAGCUGUUCCAGCAAUCACGGUAGGAUCUGAUGAAGUUAUAGUUUCCAUGGUUGAUGAGGCUAUUGGCUUGGCACCUUCAAUCACCUUGGUUGUUUGUUGUGCAGCAUCUGCCACUGUCUAAAAUCAAAGAUGAUAUCCGAAUCAGAAUGAUAAAUUAACUUGGUUUUGUAAAAGCUGUAAAUUCUAGCUUCAAGUUAGAAUCAAUUCUACUUGAGAAUAUUCAAAUAUGCGGAAAUUAGUUCUACACAUCUUAAAUCAAUUUUGACUCCUUCAAAAGUGGAACCAAGCAAAUUCUGUGUUGUAUAUAGCUUCGAAUCUCUAUAAGCGUCUAAUAUAGCAACAUCUGGUUAGAUAUUUGAAAAGAACGAUUCAAAAUCCAAAAGAACUUUUCCAGUUCACAUGAAAGUAUAUCAACCCAAAUCUCUCCAAAGGCAUGUGACAGUAUAAACAUUUAUCCACCAACUAAGGGUGCGGUUAGUAGUACAAUGGAAAGGGAUGGUGUAAAAAUGGACUUCAAACCAAACCCUCACCCUCAUAAUUGCUUUCUAUCCACCGGUGACCAUAUAAAACCAAAGACAUAAAAAAAAAUGGAAUUUGGAUCCCAAAAGUUUAUUUAGCACAUUAUAGUUCAAAUAAGACUCAAAUUCAACAUUGCAAAAACAUUACAUUCCCGAUGUUUCCAAAACAAAUGUCAUUAUCAAUCCAGAUAUAAUCGGUCUCAAAUAACAUAGGAAGAGUAUGUUUCAAUUGAUUUAAUUGAACUUAUCUACCAGCAUAAACACUUGUGAGAUUGUCUGAGAGAUCUUAUGAAAAGAACUUAUGGCAUGUUGAUAAGUUGUCUUCAACUUAUAUUCUUAAGCUCUUCAGGAUAACUUAUAACUUAUAUAAAAACAGUUUGACUUUAUUUUAUCUUUUGUUCCAGAAAUAGUUUACACAUAAACACUUAUUUAAUUAUCACUUAUACUAUAAGUGCUUAACUAAAUGAAUUAAGCAAACCUUAGCAGCUGUUUGGGUAUCAAGACCAGAGCUCUGAAGUGCUUCUUGAGCCUUCUUGGAAGCCUCAGAGAAGGCUGGGGAAGCAAUUUUCAAAGCCUCUUGUCCAGCCUGCUGCACAAUCGGCAACGCCGUAUCGAAGCCAGGCUUCAAAGCACUCCCUACAGCUUCAGCAACACGUUGUGCUGAGUCCAAAAAACCAGAACCAACCACCUGAACCUGAUCAAUAGUCUGCUCCACCUAAAUAAAAUAAAAAAUGCAUUUCUAGUUAAAGGGCAUGAAUGUAAAAUUGAAGGAAGUUGGUAAAGUUUGAAACUUUGGAAGAAAAACUUUACUUGGGUGAGAGAAGAAACAAUUUGGUCCUUGGAGAUGUUAACAGCAGCUCUAGCUUCAUUUGGAGGGGUGAAGAGAGUAAGUAGUGAAAUGGUGGUUGAUGUUGGUAAUGAUAUGCGUCUAAGUUGAGGUUUUGAGAAAGUGGUGAUUGUGUGAGGUAAGGUAGAAGGAGAUGGAAGAGAAGGUUUUGGUGUUGGUAGUGAAGACAUGGCUGUAAUCUCCAUUGCCAUUGUUAGUUGCUAGUGGUUGGUUUGGUUGAUGAUAGAGGAGUGAAGUGGAGUAGUGUUUAUGUUUGUGUUUAGUGUGAUUAGAGAUGUGUGGUUGAUAUCUAAAGAUUCGACCACUUUUUUUGUUCACCUAUGUAGCAUCUUUGUAUUUGAGGUUUCAACAUCAUCACCAUUCCACGUGGAAUUUUUGUUUUGGAGGAGAAUAUAAUUUGGGAGAUUCUCAUUGGUAGACUGAACUUGAUUUGAAUAUUUAGUAGUGUGAUGUGUGAAUAUCAUUCAUCUUUCUUCAACAGCCAUAAUUUAUGUUUAGUUAAUGGGUAGUAUAGUAAAUUCACAGUAGCCAUGCAAAUAGAUCAGACCACGUACAAAACAUGAAAAGAAAAGGGAGGAAAACAAUUCUGUUCCAAUGCAAACUUCAAUUCUUGUUCUCAAUCUUUCAACUAGGUGAGUUUUCAAUUCAAAUCUUAGAAAUGGUUUUGGGAAUGAGAAAUAGAUGAUGUUGAAAUUGGGAUUUUUAGAGAUUCUUAUGAGUUUAGUAAUUGCAUGUGUAGGAAAAGUGAUGCAUAUUGCUGUUAGUAAUAAGAAUUUCAAAUUCUGAAAGUGAAACAGUGCGUAAUGUAUGCAUGGAGGAACACAAGUUCCAAUUGAGACAGUAGAAAAAAUGAAAGGAAUCAAUUCAAAUCAUAAUGAAAGAAAGAUAAUGAAGUUUAUUUAUCUCAAAUUUAUUUAUUUAAUUUCUUAAAAAAAAAAUUUUAAAAAAAACUUAUUUAUUUAAGUGAAAUAAAAACAUGGGCCAAAAAAAACUUGCAUCCCGAAUUGGGUUUGACUGGGUAACCGAUUUUGUAAAAUUUCUAUAACUUGUCAGGUUUUUGACUUAGGGCCGUUGAUAUUCACUCACAUCACUCCCGAUCACGUUUCUAAAUUCUAAUUUUGGUUCGUUUCUUCUUCUUAAUUGAGAUUUUGUUUAAGAGAAUCUGUGAAAUUGAGUGUCUUGUCAUGUAAUUUUAAACUCUUCAUGACUUUUAUUUUUUGUUGCUUUUUCAAUUCUAGUUGAUAGUUCAAUCUUUUAUGAAAUUUUUGGGGGUUAUGGUUUAAAACCUUUUUUUUUUUGUUACAAUGAUUUAAAACCUUUGAAUUAGGGCUUUUAUUAUUAUUAAAUAUUAAAAUAAAGUAGAUUUGUUUUUAAUUUUUGGCGCUUUUACAAAUUUUGUUCUUUCUUAGUUUUGGAAUUUGAAGGAGCGUCGCUAGCAGCAGUCGAAUCACGCAAGUUCAAAUGGGUAACUCAAAUAAUCUAUUUUAUAUAUUGGUUAACAUGCACUUCAUCCAUCUGUUAUGAUGUACAUUUUGAGUUUAAAACCAUGUGAAGAUAAAAUUCUUGUUGUUUUCCUGUUUUAUGAAAAUGCAACCUCUUGAUUGAGUGUUAAUAUGCACAUGAUUUGGUUAUGUUUUUUUUAUCUUGAUUCAGUCCAUUUCAUUCUCUAUUAUUAUAUCCAAUGCCGUUCUUCUAUUCUGUUAGUUGCUAUUGUUGUUGUGCCUUGUUCCUUUUUUAACUUUCAAUCAACCAUAUUAAAAUAACCUCACCCUUUCAUUUUUUAUUUGAUCAAAACAUUAAACAGAAUUUGCUAAGGAGCAUUGUUUAAAUACAAACAAAAAUGAAGUUGCUAAGAAACAAAAAGUAAGACGCAUAGGGAGAAAGUUUCGUCUGGAGAAUGUUCGUCGUGCAAGAAACAAGAACGAAGUUGCCGCAGAGCGAGAGAAACAGUUUCUUGCUAAUAAUAAAAAAAGAGCAAGUAAGUUUUACUCAAUGCUGUAAUGAUGUAUUGAUAUGUUCUUUGCAGUUAUAUUAAUUUGGGUUAACAUGUACUUCGUCCAUCUGUUAUGAUUUACAUCUUGACUUUAAAACUAUGUGAACAUACAAUUAUUUUUGCUUUCCUGUUUUUAUGAAAAUGCAAGUUCUUGAUUGAGUGUUAAUAUACACAUAUGUUUAUCUUGCCAUUGUUGCCAGGCUUGGGAAAUUCAGCCCAUUUCAUUCUCUAUUAUCUCCUAUGGCUGUUGUGUGUUGUCUUUUUUUUAUAAGCGUUAGCGCAAUAAGAAGAGUGGAACGGGCCGGUCUCUUCUAGCUUAACCAAGUAGGUCCUGGGUUCGAAUCCAGCCUUGGGCAUGCAGCAGUGUUAAAACUCUUAGGGAGAGCCUGCCGCCCAUUUGGGUCCCACAAUGCUCGAAGAAUUAGUCUCCGUAGUUGCGCGUGGAGGAUACCCGAUUUACACCAAAAAAAAAAAAAAAAAGUGGAACACUCCGCACCCGUACGCUAAUCUAUACACCUUAUGUUCUUUUUCCUUUUUAAGUGUCAUUUUGCAAUAUUAACAUUGUAUUUUUGUACCUUUACUUUCUAUUAUACUCUUAUUUUAAUCCACCAAUAUAUUCAUAUUUUUUUCACACACUUUCUCUUUCCAAUAAAUUGAGUAUAUUAUCUUUUUUCGUAAGUCUCUCUCAUAACAAACAAUUGUUAAUUUUGAGAUAACAAGAAACAAAUUUUGUUUUUUAAAAAAAACUUUAGUUUACCAUAUAUAUAUAGUUUUAAUUAGUUUGAUUGAAAAAGAUAAGAGUAAUUAACAAAUGAUGUAAUCGACAAAUCGUACUUUUAAAAUUUCAAAAGAUUAUUAAAUAGAAAAGCUAAAUCCGCAUUCAAACGACACUUAAAAAAGAACGAACGUAAACAUAAUUAUCAAUAUUUGAAAGAAGCAAAAUUUCAUGAAAUAGCAAAUUUUUUCUAUGACGAUGCUAUAUUGAUGGUGUUUUAAAAUCAAUAACAAAAAUAAGAAUUUUUUGUUAUACUUGUUAUAUUAUUAUUGUAAAAAGAUAAAUAUAAUUCGUUGAGUUUGUUACAUUUUUUUGAAAGUUAUAAAUAUCUAUUCUUAUAAUUUUUAAUCUAUAUAAAAAAAAUUAUUUAAAAUGUAUUCCAUUAUUUUCUCCAGCAGCCGAUCGAAUUGUUUUCUGUUGCAAACAUAAAUUAUUCAGAUUGCAUAGUUUUCGGAAACUAUAACAUUUGUUACAAAAACAAAUUUACAUAUAAGAAAUUAAAAUAGAUUUACGGUACCUAAAAAAAUCAAUUUAGGUUUGCUCUCUUCCCUUCCCAUCCCAGGUUCGUUUGAGUGUAGCAAGAUGGCAAAAUUGAUCACUGUGUUAUCAAUAUUUCUAAUUGUAUUGAUAUCCAAAUGCAAUUCCUUGAUGCCAUUUUCAACUAUACAUUGUAAAUCAAUUAUAACUGAUAUGAUGGGGGAGUGUAAACCAUAUUACAUGGACCAAAAUUCACAACCAUAUGAUUCAUGUUGUUCUGCAUUUCUUACGGUUGCAUUUGUGAUAUUAAAUUGGAAGAAAUCGACAAUUUACCUUUCGAUGCCACAAACACGGCCAACUUGCUUACUCUUAGUGGAGUAUCCCUCUCCUGUCAAGGUAAAUAAUUAACUCUUAACUCUUUUAUCUUUUCUUGUUUUAUGUAUUGAUAAUUAUGUUUACAUUGUUUGAUGCUAAUAAGGUUAGUACCACUGCUCCAUCCCUCGGUACGUAAACUAUGCUUUUCUUUUAUUAGGUAUAGGGAGACACCAACCAUUUAUCUCUCGUCACUUAUAUGAACAUUUUCAAUUGUAUUUUUAUUUGUUGUCACGCCAACAUUAAUAUUUAGCUUAUAUUUGAAUUAAUCACAUCAAAAGAAAUCAAUCAAUAUAGUGUUGAAAAAGUUGAAAGGAACCUGAGUUUGAUUCCUAGAGUCACCUAUUUAAGAGAUAGUCUACUUGUGAAAAAAGAGUUAGCCAAUAUUAACUUAGUAUUAGUUGAUCCGUUUGGACCUUAGGAGAUGAUUGAUUGAUUGAGAUCUGUUGUGAAGAGCGGUUGAGCUUUAGUUCUUUUGAUGCGUGUCCUUCUCCCCUGGUCUCGGUGUACCUACAUGUUCUCCGAAGCCCAAAUCAAUAAGGAGUUCAAGAAAGUAUGUGGCUAUAUCAUGGGUAAGAAAUAUCAUACCUGACCCAAGGAUUGAGCAAGGGUAUAUAUAGUGGAUACGUAUGAUUUUAACUCAUAGUCCUUUAUCUAUAUAGCUGUCCUUAAGGGGAUGUGAGUGACAAUCAGAGUGGUCUGCUGCAUAAGAUUCAGAAUAGGAGGUGAGGAACUCUCGAUUUAGACCAUAAUCCAAUAGGAUUUAGGGCAUGUCCAUCGUAUCGUGUCACUUGCUAUUGGGGCUCAGGUCGGAACUGAUCCCAAUCGAAUUGAAUCUUGGGUCACCCCAAAACAUUAGUCUUAUAAAGGAUCCAAAAGUCUAAGCUCCAAACAAAUUUCAUCUUUCUUGAAAGCAUGUAAAUCACUUUAAAACUGAUCAUGAUUUCAACAGAGUCAAAGUUGGAAAUAGUUGUUGUAUUCAAUUAAUAGUUUUAAUGAAUUUAUGUUUGUUAUGUGAUAUUGUAGUUGAUGCUCCUAAACUAUAUGCUUUAGAGAGUUUGGUUUCCAGUUUGGCUCCUAAAAGUGCAAGUUCAUCACAGCCCCCUCCACAACAGAGUUCAAAGUCACUUUCAAGUUAUGCUCCAAAUUCUCCAUUGUUACUGACAGCACCAGCACCAAUGCAAGAGGCAAAUGACAAUGAUGUGCCAGCUCCUCCAUCACCAAAUCAAGCGCCAAUACACGUGCCAGAUGACGGUUCAAUCCAUUUUUUUCUAUUGUUAAUUUUCUUGGCGUCGGUUUUUGUGAUAUUUAGCUUGAUUAAAGUUAAUGCAGAUGCUUAUGCACAAUGAACAAAUACGACAUAGAGACGGACAUGUCGACACCAAAUGGUUGUGAAGGCUUUCAAUCAUGCUGUUGGUAUUCCUUGGAGAAUGCAAGCUAGAUGGCAAAAUUGUUUGCAAAUUUGCACCCAUAUCACUUGUAAAUGCACUCACAUUCUUAGAGAGGGAAACUUAGUAGCUGAUUCCUUAGCUAAAAAUGCACAAAAUCAUGCUAUGUUCUCCUCUCAGUGGUGGGAGCUUCCUCCCACUUUUGUGCAGUCUUUGCUUUUUAGAGAUAGUUUAAGUUUGCCUUUUUCUAGAAUUUCUAUGGACUAAUCUUUGUUAUAGGUUCAGGCCUCUCCUGUUUUUUUAAUAAAUUUCCCUGCUUGAUCAAAAAAAAAAAUAUAUCAACCCAAAUCUCUCCAAAGGCAUGUGACAGUAUAAACAUUUAGUAGUACAAUGGAAAGUGAUGGUGUAAAAAUGGACCUCAAACCAACACUCACCGUCAUAAUUGCUUUCUAUCCACUGGCGACCAUAUAAAACCAAAGACAUAAAAGAGCUUGUGUAUGGAAUUUGGAUCCCAAAUGUUUAUUAAGUACAUUAUAGCUCAAAUAAGACUCUAAUUCAACAUUACAAAAACAUUACAUUCCCCUAAAUGUGUUAACUAACAUUGCCAUGACACAGAUAAAUGUUACCAAAACAAAUGUCAUUAUCAACCCGGAUAUAAUUGGUCUCAAAUAACAGAGGAAGAGUAUGUUUGAAUUGAUUUAUUUGAGCUUAUGUACUAGUAUAAAAACUUGUGAGAUUGUCUGAAAGAGUUUAUAAACAGAACUUAUGACAUGUUGAUAAGUUGUUUUCAACUUAUAUUCAUAAGCUCUUCGGGAUAACUUAUGAAAACAACUUACUUGUAUAAAAACAGUUUGGCUUUAUUUUUUCUUUUGUUCUAGAAAUAGCUUACACAUAAACACUUAUAUAAUUAUCGCUUAUACUAUAAGUGCUUAACUAAAUUGAUUAUCCAAACGGUCCCAAUCCCAAAAAUCAAUGAAUUAAGCAAACCUUAGCAGCAGUUUGUGUAUCAAGACCAAAGCUCUGAAGUGCUUCUUGGACGCCUCAGAGAAAGCUGGAGAAGCAAAUUUCAAGGCCUCUUGUCCAGCCUGCUGCACAAUUGGCAACGUCGUAUCGAAGCCAGGCUUCAAAGCACUCCCUACAGCUUCAGAAACAUGUUGUGCUGAGUCCAAAAAACCAGAACCAACCACCUGAACCUGAUCAAUAGUCUGCUCCACCUAAAUAAAAUAAAAAAUGCAUUUCUAGUUAAAGGGCAUGAAUGUAAAAUUGAAGGAAGUUGGUAAAGUUUGAAACUUUGGAAGAAAAACUUUACUUGGGUGAGAGAAGAAACAAUUUGGUCCUUGGAGAUGUUGACAGCAGCUCUAGCUUCAUUUGGAGGGAUGAAGAGAGUAAGUAGUGAAAUGGUGGUUGAUGUUGGUAACGAUAUGCGUCUAAGUUGAGGUUUUGAGAAGGUGGUGAUUGUGUGAGGUAAGGUAGAAGGAGAUGGAAGAGAAGGUUUUGGUGUUGGUAGUGAAGCCAUAGCUGCAAUCUCCAUCGCCAUUGUUGGAAGAGUGAAGUGGAGUAGUGUUUGUGUUUGUGUUUGUAGUGUGAUUAGAGAUGUGUUGCCAAUUUUGUUCUUUCACAUCAGUUGCGGCCUCUGUUUGAAGUUUGAAUUACGAGCGUUUCCAGCAGCAGUUGCAUCUAACAAGCAAAAAUGGGUAAGUCAAUCACCUUUUUUCAUCUUGGUUAACAUGCACUUAAUCCAUCUGUUAUGAUUUACCUUAUGAGUUUAAAACCAUGUGAAGAUACAAUUCUUUUUGUUUUCCUUUUUUAUGAAAAUGCAACCUCUUGAUUGAGUGUUAAUAUGCACAUAAUUUGGUUAUGUUUAUUAUCUUGAUUGAUUCAGUCCAUUUCAUUCUCUAUUAUUAUUUUCUUUGCAGUUAUGUUGGGUUAACAUGUACUACUUGAUCCAUCUGUUAUGAUUUACGUUUUGACUUUAAAACUAUGUGAAGAUACAAUUAUUCACAAAUAAGUUUUCCUGUUUUAUGAAAAUCCAAGUUCUUGAUUGAGUGUUAAAAUGCACAUAUGUCUAUCUUGCCGUUGUUGCCAGACUUGGGAAAUUCAGCCCAUUUCAUUCUCUAUUAUCUCCUAUGGCUGUUGUGUGUUGUCUUUUUUUUUCUUUCUUUCUUUUUAACACUUUCAGCCAUAUUAAAAUAACCUCACCUUCAUUUCUUAUUUCAUAAAAACAUUAAACAGAAUUUGGUAAGAAGCGUAGUUCAAAAAACAACAAAAAUGAAGUUGGUAAGGAGCAUAGAUGCAGAGUUUCGUUUGAUGUUCAAGAAAAAGGGACUAAGUAAGUUUACUCAAUGCUGUAAUGUUGUAUUAAUUAAUAUAUUAUUUGCAGUUAAAUUAAUUUGAGUUAACAUGCACUCCAUCCAUCUGUUAUGAUUUAGAUUGACUUUAAAAUCAUUUGAAGACACAAUUCUUUCUGCUUUCCUGUUUUAUAGAAAUGCAACCUCUUGAUUGAAUGUUAAUAUGCACAUAAGUUGGUUAUGUUUAUCUUGGUAUUGCGGCCAUACUUUGGAAAGGUUAUGCUUAUCUUGGUAUUGUUUCCAUACUUUAGAAAUUCAGCUCAUUUAAUUGCUCCAUCCAUUCCAAUGAUAAGUUGUUUUGACAGAUUAAGAAAUGCAAUUAAUGUUCUAUAGAAAAAUGAAAGUAUAUAGGGAAGAGAAAUUUGAAAUAUUGAAAGAAGAGAGAAUAUUAAAAAGUGAAGGGUAUAAUAGAAAAUGACUUAUAAUUUGGGACGGGAGGAGCAAUUAAAUGAUGUCUUCUAUUUUGUUUUUGGUUAUUAUGCCUCAUCUUUUUCUUUUUUCAAGUUUCAGCCAUAUGAAAUUAUCUCACCCUUUCGUUUUUUAUUUUUUGAAAACAUUUAACAGAUGGAUACCUAUUCCUCAUACGUGUGAUUGCUACAAGAUGCAUCUUAAGGCAAGUUCUUCUGGAAAUCUUAACUAUGUUUAUGAGGCCUUUAGCAUUGCUUUUUAAAUAAGUUUUAGAAAAAUAGUUUCUUUGUGCAUACUUGAAUUCCAUAAUAUCAAUUUCCAAACCAACAUUUGGACUCUGUCAAUGAUGAUUUUACUCAUUUGGAUUCGGAUGAUGAACAGUUUCGUGAGAAUGCUUUACCGGAGAAGGAAGAGUUGGAGGCUGAUAUUGAUAGUGAUGUGGCUACUACAUUAGUUGAUGAAAGCAGUAAGAGUACUUUCUGCAUGUUUGUUGAACUGUAUUACUGUCUGUCUCUUUGAAAGACAAACAUCAAUUUUAGUGGAUGGUCAUUGAAUUACAUGUGAAUGAUGUAAACUAGUCUUACACCCGAUCGAUUUUUUUUUUCCUUCAAUUAAAUAAUUACAUAAAAUAAUUUAUAUUUUAAACUGUUUUAAAUUUAUCAUAAUAGUUUAAGAGUAAACAAAAUAAAAUCACACAUAAAAGUACAAAUUUUAAUAAUCAUAGUUUAAGAUGGUCUUAAAAUAAGAAUAACAGUAAAAAAGAGUACAUUGUGGCCAAAGCAUUCCAUCUCAAUCAUAAAUCAUAAUUGACCUACGUCUCUCUUUUUCUUUUACUGUAGAUAUUCGUCUCUACUCUAGACAUUUUUUAUAUGCAAAGGACUCGUAAUUCUAUGAUAAACUUACUCCAAAGCCUUGCAAUAAACAUCAUUCAUAAUGUAUUUAUUAGUUGUACCAAAGUUAGUUACUCCAAACCUUGCCUAAAGUUACCCAUUACAUAAAUUUACACAUCACAUAAAUACCAAUUAAUACUGGUAUUCUUAUAGUCAUAUGAUAUCUACAAAUUUUUCCCACAAUCUGUCUAUGUCUAAAUUUUUAUUGAUAUCAUUCAUGUCGUCCUGUCUUAAAAGAGAGACCAACCCACCAAGAUAGCUGCAGCAUGUUAGACAAAAAAUAAGCACUGGAAUGAAAAAUCCUAAUACAAUAUACCAUCAUAAUGUGUUAUGCAUACUAAGUAGUUUAGAGGGAUGGUUAGUUUGUUUUUCUGUUAGGUUAGUUUGUUAUCCUUACAUGUUUCAUUCUAGUUAGUAAUUUUCAGCUCAAGUCCACUUUGUAUCUUAAGUAGAGUGCAAGCAAAAAACUACAAUUUUCACCUAUAAAAUAGAAUUUGAUAAACACAAAUCAAGAUAAUCCAACAAGAAAAGUUAUUCAUACUGAUUCAAUUCACAGUGCGUCAGAAUUAAGAGAUUAUUAAUUAUAUACUUAGUAUAAUUGCCAAGAGCAUACUUGGAGGAACUAAAAAUGACAAACAGAGACACCCAUUAUGUGACAAAUAUUCAAAUAUUAAUUUUUAAUUUGAAUAUGAAAUUAAAAGAAGCAUGUGGGUUCUGUUUGUUUUCGGGCUUUUGAGGUGUGAAAUUUGUUUGUAGGCUGUUGGAAUUUUGUCUAUGGGGUACUUGUCAUUUAAACACAGUUCAUUUUCAAAUAUAUUAUUA
RNAcentral lists this long non-coding RNA (32545 nucleotides) under Medicago truncatula (barrel medic). Its description in RNAcentral is "long non-coding RNA (MTRU_LNC002422)". The record is from RNAcentral. Lineage: Eukaryota; Viridiplantae; Streptophyta; Magnoliopsida; Fabales; Fabaceae.